GACGAACGCUGGCGGCGUGCUUAACACAUGCAAGUCGAACGGAAAGGCCCUGCUUUUGUGGGGUGCUCGCGUGGCGAACGGGUGAGUAACACGUGAGUAACCUGCCCUUUACUUUGUGAUAACUUCAGGCAACUGGUGCUACUACCUGAUACGAGCUCCUGCUGCAUGGUGGGGGUUGGACAGUUUCGGCGGUUGUGGAUCGACUCCCGGCUUAUCAGCUUGUUGGUGGGGUAGUGGCUUACCAAGGCUUUGACGGGUAGCCGGCCUGAGAGGUUGAACAGGCACAUGGGGACUGAGAGACGGACCAGACGCCUACGGGAGGCAGCAGGGGGGAAUAUGGUACAAUGGGGGGAAGCCUGAGACAGAAACGCCGCGAGCGGGAUGAAGGCCUUCGGGUGGUAAACCGCUUUAGCCUGUGACGAAGCGUGAGUGACGGUAAUGGGUAAAGAAGCACCGGCUAACUACGUG
RNAcentral lists this ribosomal RNA (468 nucleotides) under uncultured bacterium. Its description in RNAcentral is "partial 16S ribosomal RNA". It matches the Rfam family "Bacterial small subunit ribosomal RNA", at positions 28 to 507 of the family's 1533-position model. The record is from RNAcentral.